UACAGAGGUCCCGAGCGUUGUUCGGAUUCAUUGGGCGUAAAGGGUGCGUAGGCGGCGGGGUAAGUCUGAUGUGAAAUCCUGGGGCUCAACCCUGGAACUGCAUUGGAUACUGCCUUGCUAGAGAACUGGAGAGGAGACUGGAAUUUACGGUGUAGCAGUGAAAUGCGUAGAGAUCGUAAGGAAGACCAGUGGCGAAGGCGAGUCUCUGGGCAGUAACUGACGCUGAGGAGCGAAAGCGUGGGGAGCAAACAGG
RNAcentral lists this ribosomal RNA (253 nucleotides) under uncultured bacterium. RNAcentral's name for it is "partial 16S ribosomal RNA". It matches the Rfam family "Bacterial small subunit ribosomal RNA", at positions 524 to 776 of the family's 1533-position model. The record is from RNAcentral.